Molecule: ribosomal RNA, 326 nt
Filed under: Corbicula sp. AA10a
Lineage: Eukaryota; Metazoa; Mollusca; Bivalvia; Venerida; Cyrenidae
Also listed under: 1 other name
Description: partial 28S ribosomal RNA
Source: RNAcentral
CCGGCCGCCAGCGGCGCUCGCAAAGUUCGGAUCCGCAAGGACCGGGCCAGCGGGACGUCCGCGUGGCAGGGUGCACUUUCUCCGCGGUCGAGUGCUACGACCGGUUUCGAGGCGGUCAGAAGCCCGGCGGAAAGGUAGCGCCGCCCUUCGGGGUGUCGUGUUAUAGGCCGCCGCGGUGGACUCGCCGCGAGACCGAGGACGCUUGCCGCGCCGAGCGGUCCCGGGCCGUCUUGGGAGGUUCGACCUCGGCUGCACUGCUCCGCAGAGCACCGUAACCGCCGCCCUAGCACGGGUCCGGAGACUGCCGGCGCCUCGGGUCAGUAGCG